Amphimedon queenslandica is the source of this 344-nucleotide long non-coding RNA. RefSeq lists it as uncharacterized. The record is from RefSeq and is a predicted model, not a curated record. NCBI's taxonomy places the organism in Eukaryota, Metazoa, Porifera, Demospongiae, Haplosclerida, Niphatidae. The transcript has 2 exons.
GAGAGUCAGUAUUAACCUGUAGUUUCCAUGUAGCUGUACAACAAACAACCUAAUUAGUAUUAAUUGCCAACAAUAGAGAUCACAAUACAGUUAUAGCCUAUAGGUCAGCGCCCACUUGACACAACUAUACUUCAAAAUCAAACAAUGGGUAUUGGCAAGAGUACACCACAGACUUUUUGUGGCUAAUAGCUUUGAUAAUGGUACACAGACUUCACACAUAGACAUUUGAUACUUGUGUAUAGUACUUCGCGGAAUAGUUAUUACAAGAGUCAUCACUAUACUUCAAAACUUCUGAUGCCUAUUUUACUUCUAAUAGCUUUCAUUAUGAUUAGGGAAAUAUACAG